GACGAACGCUGGCGGCGUGCUUAACACAUGCAAGUCGAACGGAAAGGCCUGCUUUCCCUUGUGGAUUGCGGGUGCUCGAGUGGCGAACGGGUGAGUAACACGUGAGUGAUCUGCCCCCAACUUGGGUAUAAGCCUGGGAAACUGGGUCUAAUUCCCGAUAGGACUGCAGGGUGGUGCCUGUGGUGGAAAACGAUUUUCUAGUGGUUGGGGAUGAGCUCGCGGCCUAUCAGCUUGUUGGUGGGGUAAUGGCCUACCAAGGCGGCGACGGGUAGCCGGCCUGAGAGGGUGGACGGCCACAGUGGGACUGAGAUACGGCCCAGACUCCUACGGGAGGCAGCAGUGGGGAAUAGUGCACAAUGGGCGGAAGCCUGAUGCAGCGACGCCGCGUGGGGGAUGACGGCCUUCGGGUUGUAAACUCCUUUCGACCGCGAGGAAGCCACCUGGUUGGAAGGGUGGUGACGGUAGUGGUAGAAGAAGCACCGGCUAACUACGUG
This 494-nucleotide ribosomal RNA is filed under the name uncultured bacterium. RNAcentral's name for it is "partial 16S ribosomal RNA". It matches the Rfam family "Bacterial small subunit ribosomal RNA", at positions 28 to 507 of the family's 1533-position model. The record is from RNAcentral.